This 454-nucleotide ribosomal RNA is filed under the name uncultured bacterium. RNAcentral's name for it is "bacterial SSU rRNA". It matches the Rfam family "Bacterial small subunit ribosomal RNA", at positions 339 to 791 of the family's 1533-position model. The record is from RNAcentral.
AUACGGGAGGCAGCAGUGAGGAAUAUUGCGCAAUGCCCGAAAGGGUGACGCAGCGACGCCGCGUGGAGGAUGAAGGCCCUAUGGGUCGUAAACUCCUUUUGCGGGGGAAGAAUUUGGAGCUACAGGCUCCAUUGACUGUACCCCGAGAAAAAGCAUCGGCUAACUACGUGCCAGCAGCCGCGGUAAUACGUAGGAUGCGAGCGUUGUCCGGAAUCACUGGGUGUAAAGGGAGCGCAGGCGGGUUGGUAAGUCGGUGGUGAAAUUCUUGGGCUUAACCCGGGGACUGCCAUCGAUACUGCCAAUCUUGAGUGCGGAAGAGGUUGGUGGAAUUCUUGGUGUAGCGGUGAAAUGCGUAGAUAUCAAGAAGAACACCGAUGGCGAAGGCAGCCAACUGGUCCGCUACUGACGCUCAUGCUCGAAAGCGUGGGGAUCAAACAGGAUUAGAUACCCCGGU